Molecule: ribosomal RNA, 253 nt
Filed under: Faecalibacterium prausnitzii
Lineage: Bacteria; Bacillati; Bacillota; Clostridia; Eubacteriales; Oscillospiraceae
Also listed under: 2 other names
Description: partial 16S ribosomal RNA
Rfam family: Bacterial small subunit ribosomal RNA
Source: RNAcentral
AACGUAGGUCACAAGCGUUGUCCGGAAUUACUGGGUGUAAAGGGAGCGCAGGCGGGCGAUCAAGUUGGAAGUGAAAUCCAUGGGCUCAACCCAUGAACUGCUUUCAAAACUGAUUGUCUUGAGUAGUGCAGAGGUAGGCGGAAUUCCCGGUGUAGCGGUGGAAUGCGUAGAUAUCGGGAGGAACACCAGUGGCGAAGGCGGCCUACUGGGCACCAACUGACGCUGAGGCUCGAAAGUGUGGGUAGCAAACAGG